Molecule: ribosomal RNA, 253 nt
Filed under: uncultured bacterium
Lineage: Bacteria
Description: partial 16S ribosomal RNA
Rfam family: Bacterial small subunit ribosomal RNA
Source: RNAcentral
UACGAAGGGGGCUAGCGUUGCUCGGAAUCACUGGGCGUAAAGGGUGCGUAGGCGGGUCUUAAGUCAGGGGUGAAAUCCUGGAGCUCAACUCCAGAACUGCCUUUGAUACUGAAGAUCUUGAGUUCGGGAGAGGUGAGUGGAACUGCGAGUGUAGAGGUGAAAUUCGUAGAUAUUCGCAAGAACACCAGUGGCGAAGGCGGCUCACUGGCCCGAUACUGACGCUGAGGUGCGAAAGCGUGGGGAGCAAACAGGG